AUUGAACGCUGGCGGCAUGCUUUACACAUGCAAGUCGAACGGCAGCGCGGGCUUCGGCCUGGCGGCGAGUGGCGAACGGGUGAGUAAUGCAUCGGAACGUGCCCAGUAGUGGGGGAUAGCCCGGCGAAAGCCGGAUUAAUACCGCAUACGACCUGAGGGUGAAAGCGGGGGACCGAAAGGCCUCGCGCUAUUGGAGCGGCCGAUGUCGGAUUAGCUAGUUGGUGGGGUAAAGGCUUACCAAGGCGACGAUCCGUAGCUGGUCUGAGAGGACGACCAGCCACACUGGGACUGAGACACGGCCCAGACUCCUACGGGAGGCAGCAGUGGGGAAUUUUGGACAAUGGGGGCAACCCUGAUCCAGCCAUGCCGCGUGCGGGAAGAAGGCCUUCGGGUUGUAAACCGCUUUUGUUCGGGAAGAAAUCCUCUGGGCUAAUACCCCGGGGGGAUGACGGUACCGGAAGAAUAAGAACCGGCUAACUACGUG
RNAcentral lists this ribosomal RNA (484 nucleotides) under uncultured bacterium. Its description in RNAcentral is "partial 16S ribosomal RNA". It matches the Rfam family "Bacterial small subunit ribosomal RNA", at positions 29 to 507 of the family's 1533-position model. The record is from RNAcentral.